UACGUAGGUGACAAGCGUUGUCCGGAUUUACUGGGCGUAAAGAGCGCGCAGGCGGUCGUUCAAGUCGAGGGUGAAAGCCCCCGGCUCAACUGGGGAGGGUCAUUCGAUACUGAUCGACUCGAAGGCAGGAGAGGGUAGUGGAAUUCCCGGUGUAGUGGUGAAAUGCGUAGAUAUCGGGAGGAACACCAGUGGCGAAGGCGACUACCUGGCCUGUUCUUGACGCUGAGGCGCGAAAGCUAGGGGAGCAAACGGG
Molecule: ribosomal RNA, 253 nt
Filed under: uncultured bacterium
Lineage: Bacteria
Description: partial 16S ribosomal RNA
Rfam family: Bacterial small subunit ribosomal RNA
Source: RNAcentral